GUUUUUUUAAAUCACUUUUAAUAUUUCAUAUUCAGAAUAAUUUCAUAGGUUGAAAUUAGUGGGGCAAGUUCUCAAGGUGAAAAUCUGAAGGUGAAUUCUACUUUUAGAAAAAUAAUACAAUAGUUUCACUAUCAGGUAAGUUGGUAUAUUUGAAAUGUGUUUUCCUAUACAUUUAUGAGAGCAAACAGAAAGGUCUUUUACUCCAAAUUAUAGGUAAAUGCAUGACAUUUUGUAAGUUUUAAAAUGAUUAGAGUUUCCAGUCAUCGAAGGUUUUAUGCCAUUACUGACAAACUAACCCCGUAUGCAAAAAUGGCAAGCCUGGUCUUGUUCUUUAUAAACAUAAGGAUGUUUGAUUUCCUAGUACCUGUUAGAAUCAGUUUGAUAAACCUUGCCAAGGUUUAGGCCAGAUUCAUCAAUGUCAGACUGUUCACAGAUGAAUUAUCUGAAGAUGUUACUGAUUUAUUUUGAACUUUUAUACCUAGUUUGGUGAGCUUCCUUUUAAUGCUAUGUUCAGUUUGAAAUUCCAAAAUAACCUUGGCUUAAUUAUAAUUAGCUGGGUAUGUCAUAAAAAUGUUUAGCUUUUUUUUUUUGGGGGGG
Molecule: long non-coding RNA, 597 nt
Filed under: Marmota monax (woodchuck)
Lineage: Eukaryota; Metazoa; Chordata; Mammalia; Rodentia; Sciuridae
Source: RNAcentral